Non-coding RNA from Pelobates cultripes (western spadefoot toad), 279 nucleotides. The record is from the annotation of a GenBank genome assembly. Lineage: Eukaryota; Metazoa; Chordata; Amphibia; Anura; Pelobatidae.
CGGAGCUGAUGGAUGUUAGAGACCUUGCGCUCCCACAUGCUUGGCCAGUCCAUCACCUUUACCUUCAGCUACUUAAGCAAGGCAUUGGUCAUCUUGGAGGUGUGUUUGGGGUCGUUAUCAUGUUGGAAUACUGUCCUGCUGCCCUGUCUCCGAAUCAUGCUCUGCUUCAGUAUGUCACAGUACAUGUUGCCAUUGAUGGUUCCCUCAAUGAACUGUAGCUCCCUAGUGCCAGCAGCACUCAUGCAGGUCCAGACCAUGACACUCCUACCACCAUGCUUG